AGCAGCAUGGCAUAGUGGUGUGAGUGUUCGGCUAGGGUGCUGAGAGACAAGGGUUCAAAUCCCUUCUCAGCUA
Non-coding RNA from Phrynosoma platyrhinos (Desert horned lizard), 73 nucleotides. The record is from the annotation of a GenBank genome assembly. Lineage: Eukaryota; Metazoa; Chordata; Lepidosauria; Squamata; Phrynosomatidae.